CGUGGGUGCGGGCGCUGGCUGCCCGGCCGCUGCUCAUAACGGCGGUGUGCCCGGAUCGACACCGGGACCCACGAC
Molecule: transfer RNA, 75 nt
Filed under: Dactylosporangium siamense
Lineage: Bacteria; Bacillati; Actinomycetota; Actinomycetes; Micromonosporales; Micromonosporaceae
Also listed under: 1 other name
Description: tRNA-Met
Source: RNAcentral